Molecule: ribosomal RNA, 714 nt
Filed under: Triticum aestivum (bread wheat)
Lineage: Eukaryota; Viridiplantae; Streptophyta; Magnoliopsida; Poales; Poaceae
Description: partial small subunit ribosomal RNA
Source: RNAcentral
UCGUCAUGGCCGGAGCGUAAUCCUAAUGCAAUCAAUUGCCGUUACACAUUGAUUAACAGAGAGACCUCCAAAUUUUGUGGUUGCCUUCAGCAGAUUUUAAAUAAGGAAGAAAGUGGAAGGACUAUAGCAGAAAAGACAAACGAUGCACACAUUCUGUUCAAGGAAAUGGAUGUUAAAAAAAAACGGCCUUUCACAUUGAUGCAUUGCUAUAUAGAGUUUGCAAAGUAUCCAAAGUGGCAGACAAGAGAACUUGAAACUUCUCUUAAGAAACAAAAGAAAACCAUUGAUGAAAGUCCAGGCAGAGCCACCAAUGAUCCGUCAGAUGCAUCCUCGGUACGCACUGAUGCAACCUCGAUACACACUGAUGCUCUUGAACAUGAGAAAAGACCUGAUGGUGUUAAGAAGGACAAGAGAGGUAAAGCUGAUGAGAAUGCUUGCAAGCUGUCAUUAGAAACUGUGUGGGCAGCAAAGCAAGAGAAGGAUGAGAUCAAAGAAGCGGCAAGAAAUGCUCGCUAUGCACAGCAAUUUGAAUUGCGAAAAGAGGAGAUUGCACUCAGAAAGAAGGAGGAUGCACGAAACGAGAGGGAGGAUGCACGGAGACAGUUUGAAUUAGAUGAGAGGGUCAUGCUGAUCGACACUAGUGGUAUGACUGAUGUGCAAAAGCAGUUCUACCAAGCUAAGCAGAAUGAGAUCCUUGCUCGAGGCCUAGAGUAA